GAGUUUGAUCCUGGCUCAGGAUGAACGCUGGCGGCGUGCUUAACACAUGCAAGUCGAACGAACCUUCGGGUUAGUGGCGGACGGGUGAGUAACGCGUGGGAAUCUGCCCUCAGGAGGGGGAUAACGGCUGGAAACGGCCGCUAAUACCCCAUAUGCCGAGAGGUGAAAUGAAUUUCGCCUGAGGAUGAGCCCGCGUCUGAUUAGCUAGUUGGUGAGGUAAGAGCUCACCAAGGCAUCGAUCAGUAGCUGGUCUGAGAGGAUGAUCAGCCACACUGGGACUGAGACACGGCCCAGACUCCUACGGGAGGCAGCAGUGGGGAAUUUUCCGCAAUGGGCGAAAGCCUGACGGAGCAACGCCGCGUGAGGGAUGAAGGCCUCUGGGCUGUAAACCUCUUUUCUCAAGGAAGAAGAUCUGACGGUACUUGAGGAAUAAGCCACGGCUAAUUCCGUGCCAGCAGCCGCGGUAAUACGGGAGUGGCAAGCGUUAUCCGGAAUUAUUGGGCGUAAAGCGUCCGCAGGCGGCCCUUCAAGUCUGCUGUUAAAAAGUGGAGCUUAACUCCAUCAUGGCAGUGGAAACUGUUGGGCUUGAGUGUGGUAGGGGCAGAGGGAAUUCCCGGUGUAGCGGUGAAAUGCGUAGAUAUCGGGAAGAACACCAGUGGCGAAGGCGCUCUGCUGGGCCAUAACUGACGCUCAUGGACGAAAGCCAGGGGAGCGAAAGGGAUUAGAUACCCCUGUAGUCCUGGCCGUAAACGAUGAACACUAGGUGUCGGGGGAAUCGACCCCCUCGGUGUCGUAGCCAACGCGUUAAGUGUUCCGCCUGGGGAGUACGCACGCAAGUGUGAAACUCAAAGGAAUUGACGGGGGCCCGCACAAGCGGUGGAGUAUGUGGUUUAAUUCGAUGCAACGCGAAGAACCUUACCAGGGUUUGACAUCCUGCGAACCUCUUGGAAACGAGAGGGUGCCUUCGGGAGCGCAGUGACAGGUGGUGCAUGGCUGUCGUCAGCUCGUGUCGUGAGAUGUUGGGUUAAGUCCCGCAACGAGCGCAACCCACGUCUUUAGUUGCCAGCAUUUAGUUGGGCACUCUAGAGAGACCGCCGGUGAUAAACCGGAGGAAGGUGUGGAUGACGUCAAGUCAUCAUGCCCCUUACAUCCUGGGCUACACACGUACUACAAUGCUACGGACAAAGAGCAGCAAGUUCGCGAGGACAAGCAAAUCUCAUAAACCGUGGCUCAGUUCAGAUCGUAGGCUGCAACUCGCCUACGUGAAGGAGGAAUCGCUAGUAAUCGCAGGUCAGCAUACUGCGGUGAAUACGUUCCCGGGCCUUGUACACACCGCCCGUCACACCAUGGAAGUUGGCCACGCCCGAAGCCGUUACUCCAACCCUCGGGAGGAGGACGUCGAAGGUGGGGCUGAUGACUGGGGUGAAGUCGUAACAAGGUAGCCGUA
RNAcentral lists this ribosomal RNA (1447 nucleotides) under uncultured bacterium. RNAcentral describes it as "bacterial SSU rRNA". It matches the Rfam family "Bacterial small subunit ribosomal RNA". The record is from RNAcentral.